AAACAAGCUCGGCUAGCCCUGACUCGUCUGAGAUGCUCUUGGACCUUCAAGGGAUCAACUCAACCGCAUCUGACUUGGAACCAUGGACGCAAAUGAUCUAUACUGUUUCCAGGAUGCUGUUUCAAGCCACAAGGAUUUCACAAGGAGCUUGCAGAAAUUCCGAACCAUUGAACGGUCUGCUGUCUCCAGCACGCAGGAGCCCAUUCUGCCUCCCAGUUCCAGCUUCAGGAGGGCCACCCUCCAUCCAGACAUCAGGGUUGCGUUUCAGCAAACAGCAAGGAAGAAUCAGAAGCAAAGGGUAUCUUUUGUUCUCGUUUCCAGUGAACUCCCUCUGUGAGCCCUCACUGGCCAAACUUACGUACAUGACACGGAGAUCACCUGGAGGACCAAGGAUGUACGCAGGCAAAUGGGAAUCAAAUGUCCCUUGCUGCAGAUGAAGCAGCUUUGGAGAGUGGCCACCUUUCAGUAACGAGAGCAUUAGUAACUUCAGCUCAGAUAUGAAACAAACCAUCUGCUUGAAGAUGAACUUGCAACAUCGCCAGCCUGCCCACAUUCCCUUCCCCAUUUUGCUCCGAUAAAGGCGUUGUCUUCUUUUGAAGGUUCCCCUUACAAGUCUCCCAAAAUGGAAGAAGCUGCACUAAACACAAAUAGCCUCUCUCAAACACACCCACUAGGUGAGUGAGACAGACUGAAGACAAAUGGGACAAACGUCAUGUUAGUUGAAACACAUUGGAACUUGGCAAGUAAGAGUUACUAUCUGAUAUGUAAGUCCCUCCCACCCUGUGAGGUUUAAUCAGCCAACCAUUGGCUUACAUGGAAUUCCUCUAAUCCUUAUCAUCACGUGCAAUUACUGAAAUGAAUACCAGGUUUUAGAAAUGCUACAACAGUUCCUGACAGAAUGAUAAUCAACGGCUAUACCGUAUGGGUCAGAUCCGAGAUAGAAUAGGCGUUCCUAAGACUAUGCUUAAGGAAGAGUUGGAGCAGAUAGGAUUUUCACACAAUGGUCAAACAUGAGGCUGUUCGUGAAGCCAAGGCAAGCUCUCUGACGGGAUGCGAGCACGGAGAGCAUUUUACUCCCGGCUAUGUCAUGGAUCCUGCAAGAAUGGGUUACAUGGACAUGAUGUGGUGGCGGAAUUGAAUACCGCAAACCUCGUGCCUAAAUAUCUGUUGGACGGCACUGGGAAACCAGGCAGGCGCGGUUUACCUGGGAGUAAGGCGUGGAUAACCCCACCAGAGUAGUAUUUAGUUCACAGAGCAGGGCAUUUGAAGCUAUUGAAAAAUAUAUACUAUUUUUCACAGAUUAUUCAGGAAGAAGUAUUACCCCCUAAAAUUUUCAUAUGCAUGGCCUAACAGAUCCCCUUUUCUGUUUAAUCCGGUUAAGCUAAGGAGCCCUGACUAAUACACCUGACUAAUAGGGCGCAGGGAAGAAUUCCUCAGGCUUGUGGGUGUGUUAGAAAGACUUGCUAAACUGCAGGUUGCUGGCCUCUCCUCCACAGCGCGUGAUGUGGUAAGGCAGGGUCCAACGCUACCGAAACUGCAGUCACUUGUUAUGCAUGAGCGAAUGAGUAAAUAGACUCGGAGUGAAUCCUUUAGUUCAUAAAAUAAGAGAUCACGUCUGAUGGUCUAGGGUUGUAAUUGUUGCUUUGUGAGAGGCUGAGGCAGGAGGAUCACGAGUUUCCGUCUCUUCUGACCUACCCAGUGAAUUCAAGGUCAGUCGUGGCUACAUGGUGAGACCCUGGACAAAGUUAGGACUGGGAGAUGUAGCCCAGUGAUUACGACGCAUGCGCGAGGUCCUCAGCUCGCUUCCUAGCCCUUCAAAAGAGACAGAAAUGAAACAAAAUCAUGACAUAAACCACGAGAUGGGACGAUCUCUGGGAUUUGUUUGUUUCUAUGAGUCUAAACUACAAAAUGUUCUACUUAUAUAGUUUGCAUUUCUUAAUUUGUUAUGUGUAUGUACGUGGGGCUGGGACACACAGGCCACGGUAUACGUGUGGGCUUAAGAAGAAACCUCACAGUUCUCUCCAAACUCAGCUCCGCACCCUUGGUAGGGAGCAUCUUGAUUCUCCGAGCCAUCUUGCUGGCCACUACUUAUGUAUAUUUUUCCUAUUCAAAUAAACACUGUGGUGUUUACUGAGAG
This 2137-nucleotide long non-coding RNA is filed under the name Mus musculus (house mouse). RNAcentral describes it as "predicted gene, 36283". Lineage: Eukaryota; Metazoa; Chordata; Mammalia; Rodentia; Muridae. The record is from RNAcentral.